ACCAAAAACAGGGAUUUACCAGUGACACACCAUCACAGGACCACUGAGGGCCAGAGAGAGGUAUUGCGGAAGACCGUGCCUGUCUGAUACCAGCCCGGUGACGGCCGCUGUCCACAUGCGUGUAGAGACAAGUGCCGAAUUAACCUCCGGGGCGCAAGGAUGGGAACGAGCUACGCAAGUUCCCGUCAAACGUCACCAUCGGUCCACAUUGAGACCCAGCGCCGACGGAGGAGAAGCUGCCGUGUAAUCCAGUCCUCAGCUAGUGGAAGCAGACUUUCACACACGCUACAGAUGACUGACGCGCCUCUCGACAAAGGCAUCGCUGGAUCUGCUCCGAGCACAACGGGGGACGACAAAUCAAACUUCUCCUCAAAGAUCUUGUGAACAUUUCAACGAACGCCGCUGCAGUAAACCGGGAAGGCGCAUCGCUGUGCCGGGAGCUUCCCCCUCCGUAUCUAUGAAACCACCACCCAAAUUUUGUUUCGGAUCAAUACAUGGAGCGUUACGUUCAUUACUCUUACACUCCAGACCAUAUUACCACAUUUUACUGCUAUUUUCCACACAGAAGCUCCCUCUUCCUAUAUGUGGUUGACACAGGUGUCAAACUUAGUUCCACGUUUGACCUGUAUAGGGAAUUUAAUGAAAUUUGGAAUAUCUUUUUCCAACGUCUGAGACAGUGCUGCACGACGACAUCUGCGAAAUAUUGCAACCUUUUGCUCUUAAAUUGCGUUACGUGUCGUAUUUUCUCCAUUCCGGUCUGAUUCUGUCCCUCUGUUGUUAAUUUAAGACAAUGAAGAAUUAAAAGGCCAUUUAGCUGAUGCUCUGGAGAAAAGCGUCAGCUAAAAGAAGUCACGUACGUGUACAUGUGAAUGUAAAUGUAUGACGAGCACAGGAGGGAUCCCUCUUCUCCAAGGCAAACAGCUCCUUGGUUCACCUUUACGCACAAAUCUGUGUUUUCUGUGCUCGGCCGUUCCGUUUCUCAUUUGCCAUCGGCGUGAUGGUAACUCACACCUACAGCACGCUUCCUGCCGUGACCCGGUCCCGAUUUGUUCCUGAAAAUUUGACCCUGUAUCGAGAAACUGAAUAAUGAAAAUUCCAGCUGGUCCCAGGCGCAUCCCAAGUUCACCUGAAAAUCUCCAUAAAUUUUGCCUAAUGUCAUCAAGAAAAAAGUGUGUAACACAUUAAAAACGAAAAGAAUUUUCA
Molecule: long non-coding RNA, 1203 nt
Organism: Scleropages formosus (Asian bonytongue)
Lineage: Eukaryota; Metazoa; Chordata; Actinopteri; Osteoglossiformes; Osteoglossidae
Exons: 2
Source: RefSeq, a predicted model, not a curated record